This 392-nucleotide ribosomal RNA is filed under the name uncultured bacterium. RNAcentral's name for it is "bacterial SSU rRNA". It matches the Rfam family "Bacterial small subunit ribosomal RNA", at positions 30 to 421 of the family's 1533-position model. The record is from RNAcentral.
AUUGAACGCUGGCGGCAUGCCUUACACAUGCAAGUCGAACGGCAGCACGGGAGCAAUCCUGGUGGCGAGUGGCGAACGGGUGAGUAAUAUAUCGGAACGUGCCCAGUCGUGGGGGAUAACGUAGCGAAAGCUACGCUAAUACCGCAUACGAUCUAUGGAUGAAAGCGGGGGAUCGCAAGACCUCGCGCGAUUGGAGCGGCCGAUAUCAGAUUAGGUAGUUGGUGAGGUAAAGGCUCACCAAGCCGACGAUCUGUAGCUGGUCUGAGAGGACGACCAGCCACACUGGGACUGAGACACGGCCCAGACUCCUACGGGAGGCAGCAGUGGGGGAAUUUUGGACAAUGGGCGCAAGCCUGAUCCAGCAAUGCCGCGUGCAGGAUGAAGGCCUUCGG